AUCACCUAAGAAUCUUGUUAAAAAUGUAGGUUCUGAGUCAUUAGGUCUGGGUCAGGGUCUGAGAUUUUGCAUUUCUAGCAAGCUCCCAGGUGAUGCCGA
Molecule: microRNA precursor, 99 nt
Filed under: Pteropus alecto (black flying fox)
Lineage: Eukaryota; Metazoa; Chordata; Mammalia; Chiroptera; Pteropodidae
Also listed under: 1 other name
Description: mir-544 microRNA precursor family
Rfam family: mir-544 microRNA precursor family
Source: Rfam by way of RNAcentral